GAUGAACGCUGGCGGCGUGCCUAAUACAUGCAAGUACAACGCUGAAGUAGGAGCUUGCUCCUCUGGAUGAGUUGCGAACGGGUGUGUAACGCGUAGGUAACCUGCCUGUUAGCGGGGGAUAACUCUUGGAAACGAUAGCUAAUACCGCAUGACAACAGUUAUUGCAUGAUAACCGUUUAAAAGGGGCAACUGCUCCACUACCAGAUGGACCUGCGUUGUAUUAGUUAGUUGGUGAGGUAACGGCUCACCAAGGCGACGAUACAGAGCCGAACUGAGAGGGGGGUCGGCCAAACUGGGACUGAGACACGGCCCAGGCUCCUACGGGGAGCAGCAAUAAGGGAUCUUCGGCAAUGGACGGAAGUCUGGCCGGGCAACGCCGCGUGGGUGAAGGAGGUUUUCGGGUCGUAAAGCCCUGUUGUAAAGGAAGAAAGAGAGGGGGAGUGAAAAGUUCACACUGUGACGGUAUCUAACCAGAAAGGGACGGCUAACUACGUG
Molecule: ribosomal RNA, 495 nt
Filed under: uncultured bacterium
Lineage: Bacteria
Description: partial 16S ribosomal RNA
Rfam family: Bacterial small subunit ribosomal RNA
Source: RNAcentral